GAUGAACGCUGGCGGUGUGCCUAAUACAUGCAAGUCGUACGCAUUCUCGUUUCUGAUUGACGGUGCUUGCACCUAAUUGACGAGACAUUGGAAUGAGUGGCGGACGGGUGAGUAACACGUGGGUAACCUGCCCAGAAGCGGGGGAUAACAUUUGGAAACAGAUGCUAAUACCGCAUAAAGGGCAAAACCACAUGGUUUUGAUUUAAAAGAUGGCCUUUGUGCUAUCACUUCUGGAUGGACCCGCGGCGUAUUAGCUAGUUGGUAAGGUAACGGCUUACCAAGGCAAUGAUACGUAGCCGAACUGAGAGGUUGAUCGGCCACAAUGGGACUGAGACACGGCCCAUACUCCUACGGGAGGCAGCAGUAGGGAAUCUUCCACAAUGGGCGCAAGCCUGAUGGAGCAACACCGCGUGAGUGAAGAAGGGUUUCGGCUCGUAAAACUCUGUUGUUAAAGAAGAACGUAUCUAAGAGUAACUGCUUAGGUAGUGACGGUAUUUAACCAGAAAGCCACGGCUAACUACGUGCCAGCCGCCGCCGUAA
Molecule: ribosomal RNA, 540 nt
Filed under: uncultured bacterium
Lineage: Bacteria
Description: partial 16S ribosomal RNA
Rfam family: Bacterial small subunit ribosomal RNA
Source: RNAcentral